AUGGCGCGCUGGUGGGAAGACAGCCCACGGGUGUCGCCCUCCAUCAAGGUCAAGUUAUCCAGCCUGGCUCGUGCUGCCCGGAGUUUGCUACGUGAGUGUCCUGGAUCUUAUGUGCCAUCUGCAUGGUGUCUGAAGGCUAAUUUAGCAGGGGUUUGCUUUUCUGCGUCCGUCCACUCGACUUUUCAUGGUUUCGAGUGAUCUUCAGCCAGAGAGGCACCUGAUCUGGUGAGCCAUUGCGGAAAGGCCCUAGACCUCCCCCAUGCAGUAGCUGUGGUCCAGACUUAAAUUCAGGAUCCUGGGGACCAUCUCCUUCCUGGCGCCGCUUCCCCCCGCUCUGCUUCCGGGAAAAGGCGCUGCGGCCGGGCUUUUACUCCACUGCGCAGGGCCAGCCCCUGAACUGUUUUUAGUUAUUUUACCCUUGAAACUAAAAUCUGAUGCUUUAAAAAAAAAAUCGAUAAAAUACAUUUAACGUUGGCAAACCUGAUCUGGUGAAACAUGGAAUAAAUCCUUUUUAAAAUUAGAAACUGGAAUGGUUUU
Molecule: long non-coding RNA, 537 nt
Filed under: Bos grunniens (domestic yak)
Lineage: Eukaryota; Metazoa; Chordata; Mammalia; Artiodactyla; Bovidae
Description: lncRNA (ENSBGRG00000023936.1)
Source: RNAcentral